This 205-nucleotide microRNA precursor is filed under the name Oryza glumipatula. RNAcentral describes it as "MIR812 microRNA precursor family". It matches the Rfam family "MIR812 microRNA precursor family". Lineage: Eukaryota; Viridiplantae; Streptophyta; Magnoliopsida; Poales; Poaceae. The record is from Rfam by way of RNAcentral.
AAAAAAACAAACCCUGAUUUCCGUGUCCAACGUUUGACCGUUCGUCUUAUUUAAAAAAAUUAUGAAAAAGAUUAAAAAGAUAAGUCACGCAUAAAGUAUUAAUCAUGUUUUAUCAUCUACCAAUAAUGAAAAUACUAAUUAUAAAAAAAUUUCAUAUAAGACGGACAGUCAAACGUUGGCACGGAAACCCAGGGUUUGCCUUUUU